This 23002-nucleotide long non-coding RNA is filed under the name Malus domestica (apple). RNAcentral's name for it is "long non-coding RNA (MDOM_LNC014784)". The record is from RNAcentral. Lineage: Eukaryota; Viridiplantae; Streptophyta; Magnoliopsida; Rosales; Rosaceae.
GAUUCAUGCGGUGUGGACAAUCAUAGGCCUCAUGAUCAAUCUGUCGACAAAUCUGACAAGUGAGCAUUCUUGCAUAAUUGUUGAAUCCACCGUGGCCACCAUGAUUGUACCUUUGAUUAGAUCGCUGAUUGUUUCUUUGAUUGUUAUUGUUGCCUUGAUAGUUGGAGAAAUUUCCAUGAUUCUGAUUGCUUCUAGGGUUUGAGAAAUUUCCCCGGCCUUGUUGUGAAUUAAAAGAAGGAGUAUUGUGAGCAACAAAUGCUUAAGAAUUGGGAGAGAUUGUUGGUGUAGGUAGUAAACCAGUAGAUGAAUUGAAGGCCUGGAAAUGGGAAGAAGAAGAAGAUUUCUUCUUGUUUGUCAACUGAAUCUUCUUGCUAAGAAGUAAGCCAUGAAGUUCAUCAAUAGUAGUUGAUCCAAGACGAAAUUGAAUUGCAUCCACAAAAGAUUCGUACUCAGGAGGAAGGCCAUGAAGAGUAACGGAGAUAAGUUCAGCAUCAUCAAUUGGAGAUUCAUCACUGGCAAAAACAUCAACGAUCUCUUUGAUUUGUUGGAGAUAGAUUGCAGCAGUGGAAUCACCUUUAGUAAUACUGCAAAGACGAGAUCGAAGUUCAUGAACAUGCGAUUGCAAAGCUGUCGCAAGUUGCGAUUCCAAUUUUGCCCAAAGUUCAUGAGCAGAAGUUACACCAACUAUGUAAGGAAUCAGAGAAUCGGAGAGUGUAGAGUUAAGCCAGAUGAGAAUGUUCUAAUCAUUUUCGUACCAAGUGACAAACUCCGGAUUCAGAGUCGUCGUGCGAUUUCCUGAGGCAUCGAGAAGAAAUUUAGGCGCAGGAGUCCAUGUUCCAUCUACAAUUCCGGUGAGGUUGUAUCGGCAAAAGAUUGGAGCAAACAGAGCACUCCUGGUAAGGUAAUUGGUAGAAGUAAGCUUGAUCGGAACAAGAGAUCCAAUAUUUUGGAUUGUGAUCGAAGAAAUUAAGGAAUCAGGGUUGGAAUUCAUGAUGUUAGGAGAAUGAAUUUGAGAAGCAGAUUCAGAUGAGGGAGAUGAAGAGGUCGCCAUUUAUGCGAGCUAGGGUUUGCAGAGAGAUUGAUAAACACCAGAGAAUCGUCAUCGCAAAGAAGACGAAGAUUCAAAGAGGAAAAAGGAGGGAAGCGGUUUCGGAUCGGGUCGUGAGACAAAGGCGGGUGAUACCAUAUAGAGAAAAUAUCUUUUCAUUCAUAUCAAACAAUAAGAUUACACUUGGUAUUUAUACAAUUGCAUAGCACACACACUUGUGCUGCAACUCAUCCUAACUAUCAUAACAAACUUAUCCUAACUAAUAACACCAUUAAUAACAUAUUACAACAGAAUUAAUCAAGACUAAGUUUUAUCUUUUACAAGAGAAUUGUCCUUAAUACCGUCAACUAAACUCAAGGACUACAUUCACGAGCCUAAAUUCCUUUAUCCUCUUUCACGUACCUCAUUGUUGCGUGUGCCAAAAAUGAAAUGUCUAUACUACCCUUUAAUUUAAUGUAUAUUUAACGCAAUAGUCGAAAAUGGGGUGAACUGAGAUUAAAUGAGACGAAAUUUGCAAUUUCAAGGGAUAAAGUGAGAAAAAACUAGGAUGUGAAAUGAGACUAAAUGGUAAUUUCAUGAGACAAAUCAACAAAUAAGCCCGAGAAAUUAAUUAAGGAACUGUUAUUAGCACUCUAAAAAUUUUAUUUUGCACAAUGUAUUUUUCUUUCAAAAUAUAGAAAAUUUCGAGUGCAAAAUCGAAGUUUUAGAGUGCCAAUAACAAUUCUAUUGAUUAAACUAAAAAUUAAUUAAAGAUAGUAUUUGGCACUUGAGAACUCAUUAGUGUCAUGCAAAUUUUGUGAUUUUGGGAAAAUGCAAUUUUGCAUUUGAACUCGGAUAUAAAUUGUCAUGUGAAUAAAACCGUGAAGUGAGGUGUCAGAGCGAGAGCGUCAGUGCGCAUGCAUGUCCUUGGCCUUGCAUGCAUGACGUGUUUUCCAGAGAAAUUUUAUUUAUCCAACAUGCUGCUUUAAUUUUGCUAUUUGUUUGGCAUACAAAUAAAUUGGAGGCUUUCUCUAAAAUAAAACAAAAAACAAAAAAAAAAAAACAUGCAUGAUCUUAUAUUUUUCAACAAUUAUUAUGGUCAAUAAUCUAUUUGUUAUUUAAAAUAGUACUAGCAACAUGGACAUAUAUGUACAAAAUAAUUACAAAAAGUACAAAAUAGAUAAAUUUUUCAAUGACUAAUAAUUUGAUAUGGAGAUAAUUUGUGUGUGUAAGAAGUUAAUAAAACAAACUUGAAAUUUCACUCUCUUCAUCAAUCUCCACAGCAUUAAUAUAAUUGUCUUUGGAAUUUGUUUUCAAAUUGAAAUUAAAUUUUAGUGUUAAUAUAGAAUUCUGUUCUUUAUUUUUUUAUGUCAAAUGUAGAUUUAUGUUCACCGCCACGGGUCACAAGUAUUUUGCAGGCUGUGUAGACUAAUAAAACUUAGUUAUAGGUUUGGAAAACAAAAUAUACAAACCUAUUAACGUAUUUGAACAAAAAAAAACCUGGUACAGUUGGGAAAAUAUAAAAGCUAGAAGUAAGGUUUUUGGAAAAAAAAAUAUAAUCUAGUAGGUUUGGCAGAUAUAAAAACCUUAAACCUAGUAAUAUAGUUUGGCAGAAAUAAAACCUAGUAUUAUUGUCUUCAUCGAAAAUCUUACUAAAGCCACCGUGAUUAUAAAUCUAUAUGAAAUUACUUAAAUUAAUCUGACCUAGUUGAUUUGUUUAAUUAUUACACACACACACACACACACACACACACACACACACACACACACACACACACACACACACACAUACAUACAUACAAACCUUAUAUACUUAUUCUCUUUGUUUUUAAUAAUAUUAUCGACAGGAAAUGCCGGGCUGAACUUUCUCAUUGACAUUUUUUUCCACCGAAAACAAGAAGUUUCUGUUGAUACAGUUUGAAGGACAAUGACUUGGUACCCUUACCAUGACACCCUUCAUUCACUAGUUCCAUACGACAUCUCAACCUCUCAGGCUUAAUAAGAAUAAUUUAUUUAGAAGAAGAACAAGAAGAAAAUUGAUUGUUGUCUUGUCAUAUAUAGGUAAGCCAUUGGUCCUUUCUUGAAAGUUCUUUAGUUUUAGACGUCUUUUAUUUUCAUUAAGAGGACCAAUAGAUAUGCGGCUAGAUAUUGUUAAUGCUUAUUUUUAGUUACGCUCCCGAAAUUUGAUUUUGAUCUCACUUUGUUCCUUGAAACUCAAAGUUUGCUUCACUUUGCUCAUUGGAAUUCGAUUUUGAUCACAUUUUGCCCCUCAUAAACUUGAAAGUCGUAUCUAUAAAACUCAAAAUUCGCUCUACAUGUCAAAGUGGAACAAAUUUUGAGUUUUAGGGAGUAAAGUUGUGACUUUUGAGUUACAAGGGAGGGGGUAAAAUGAGAUUAAAACGAAGUUCUAGGAGCUUAACUAAAAAUAAGCCUAUUCUUAAUGUCAAUACGUCCAAAUACAUAUAACAUACAGAUGAUCGAUAUUACGCUUAAAUACUUAAUAAGAUGUAGCUAAAUUUUAGAAUAAUCAACUUUGAUCAUUUAUCUCCAAGAGAAAUGCUAAUGAGACUCUUUUAAAAAUAGAAAUAUCUCAGUCACACUCUGCCACCUCAUAUUUUUUUGGCACAAUUCCCAUAUAAUAAACACAAGUAACAUUGAGAAUACAAAUUUGAAGUAUCACUUCACCCUUCAAAAGUCAUAUGUUUGCCUUUGGAUACGGAUGCGUCAGUAAAAAAUGACAUUGUGCAUGUAUAUCCUUGCAGGUAGUUUGUUAGAAAGGAGGUGAUGGAGGCUUCAGGAUCCUCUGGCGGAUCCAACUCAGUAGGAGGUGGAAGUACCGUGGGGGUUAGCAGUAGGGGCUCCGGUUGACUUUCCAUUUCCUUGUAGGUAGUUUGUUUCCCUCGAUUUAAAGUUUUUAGCAAUACUUGAGUACUAACUAGUCAAUGCCCUUUUUACUCGUGAACCUAUGUGGCUUAAUAAAAACGAGUCAUGUGUUGGAUGUUUAGGUUUUAUAACCAAGUAACCAAACACCCCUUUCUUUUAUUAAACUUACCAAACGGACUAUGUCUUCAUCCUCCAUCAUGUUUGCAAAUCUUCCAUGUCAUGGCUAGCACGGCUUUUCUUGCGACCCUAAUUGGCCAACCCCACCACCUAAAUUUCUAUCUCAUCUAAAUUUCUAUCUCAUCUAGUCCAUUCUCUCUUAUUUUUCUCUCUUUAUAAAGAAGUCAACACAAGAUGUUAAUGUGGUUGAAUCGUGACUGUUUAAAUAGGAGGGACUUAGAAGGGAAGAGAAAUUGGAGGGCAGAGAAUUCUACUUCAAAAUUGAGUAGUUCUUAUUUAUUCGAGGCCUUAAUUAGAUGGUGUUUGCUACUUAAUACUACAGUUUAAUGAUAUUCUUGUUCACUUAUAAGUAAAAAAUCUUAAAUUCGAUUCUCGUCAUAAAUUGAAAUUACAUUAUUAUUAACCCAUUAUUAUGAGAUGUGUUUGCACUCACAUGGAUGCAUUUAUGUAGAUUUCCUCAUGCUCUUCAAAGAAAUUAAAAUAUAGAAGGCAUGUGCAUAAGUGUCUUUUUGAUAAAGCUCUUAUUACAAUACGCAUUGUUUAUGGUGAAAAUAUCAUAUUUUUAGUUUAGGUACUAAUUAAAAUUUAAAUUCGUCAUGUUGUUUUUGUGUUAAAUUCAUUAUUUCAAGAGAUGGCUCGAUAACAACCUAUCAGUUAACAGGUUCAUGUGAAACCUGUUAUUUGUGUGUCAUUUCUUGUCGAUUAACAUAUUUUGUAAAUUUUUUUUUAAUUAUUUUGGAUUUUUUUUAGUUGGUACUUAAAUUAAAAAUAUGAUACUUUAACUAAAUGCUUUAUUAGGAAUUAGUAUUUAAAUUAAAAGACCCUAAAUUAUACAAAUACCCGUUUAAAGCGGCGUUUAAAACGGUAGAAUUAAUCUCCUAAGGUCCUAACUUUUGAGGACUUGUGAUACACCCCGACCGAGGUCAUGACAUGCUGGCCGUCACGUGAGGGUGACGUAGCCAUGUGCACAAUGCGAGAGCGAUAAAGAUAGCAACUAUAUGAAUAAUUAAAACCAGAUUACUAGAGUGCAUUACUAAACAGAAAGUGAUAGAAGUUAGUUACAACAGUAAACACUCCUAAUCAGAGCAUAAAGUCUAGGUGCAGUCUAGUAGGACAAGUACUAGUUAUACAGUACCAGGAAUGUCCUACUAUUAUUUAGAUAAGUCAGAACAGCCGACAAUCCUGAGCCACCAACAAUAAGUUUACUUAGAACCUGGAAGGGCACAAAACAAAAAACGUGAGUGGGUAAAAACAAAUGUUUUACAAAAUCAUUUCAUUUAUCAAUAUACUAACCCCUCGCUGUAAAACAUGUAUAAUUUUCCCAGAAUCAAGAUAUAAGUAUAUACAUACAUACAUACAUAUAUAUAUGAAAUCAUAUCAAUUCAAUUCAUGCUUCACAUAAUCAUAUUCAUAUGUAUGCCAUGCCAAAAUAUAACAAAGUAAACAAUCCAGGUAAGAAUGAUUUCAUAGAAACAUGAUAUGUUAGCCAGAACCCCUGAGGUAGUCUGUACGGCUGAAUUCAUAACUCAACGUCAAUCUGGCCGGAGUCACUACAAUGACCUAUACGGCAAUAUACUGCACAUAAGUCGGAACUACUAAAGAGGGUUUGUACGACAAGAUUGGGUGAAAUAUAAUUAUGCUCAACUCUAUUCUCUCUUAAUAGCCGGGCGAUGAAUCGCUAGUCACCUACGAGUUGGAACCAUGAAUAAGGUCUGUACGACAAGAUUGUGCACUUGAGUUGGAUCCAAUAUGAGCAUAUAGUGUGGGAGGUGAGGUAAAUAAACAGGCAUGUACCUCAUAUCUCUGGCUAAUUUACAAUCACCCUAGGUGCAGCUUUAUGAGCUCAACAUUAUUUAAUCACAAAUCACAUCAUCGAUGAUUCACACAACCAAACAUAACUUACCUGAACUCACCCGUGCCUCCACAACACCACAUUUAUAUAUAUAUGCAACCAUGCAAUGCAUAUUCAAAAUAUAGAAGCAUUUGGCAUAUCAUUUCAAAGCAUACUUUCCUUAAAAAUGCAUUUCUGGGAAAUAUAUCAAGUAUAUAAAUAUAUACCGAAAACAAAAGCCCACUCACUAUGUCGAAGGGUCGUAGCCCCCGAGUCGCCCGUGGAUACGCUCGUCCUCGGGAUAAGUCUCACCUAUAUGCGAAUUAACUAUAAAAACGUUAUUUUAAAGCACAUAAGCAAAAACUAGCUAAUAACUUCCCAUACAUUGCUCAAUUUUGGUAUUUAAAUAUACCAACGUGACCUACACAGCUUCACGAACAUCGUGAUAUUUUUAGAUAAAUUUUUAGGUGGCUCACGCGCCCCCACGCGCCGAGGAGGGCAUGGCCUCACGUUCCCAACGCACGCAUCAUCUUCAACCUCCAGACGUCGGAAUAGUGUCGUCGGCGCCGGAUUCUGGGCAGACCUGCAACUGCCUUUUUCUCACUCGUUUUUGCACCAUUUUUCACGCAAUUUAUACCAAAAUGAAGCUCUUAACUUGUAGAACACGAUCAUACUAAUUUAAAGCUCUAAAAGUCAUGGGAUCUCACCGGAGAAUUCGAAGAAAAUCGGCCAAACUUCGUCCACACGAUCCCGACGUCCAAAACCUUCAAACGAAGCACUCCGAGCUUUCUUGGGACCUUACUAAGCUAGCAAUGAGCUUGGAUUGUCCUAUAACAUAACCAUUUAAAAGUUCGUGAAUAGUGCUCAACUCGGAGCUUGAAUUUUUAAAGUGAUAUCGAACGAGUUCUUACCUGAAAUGGGUACAUUUGAACUCGCAUGGUCCUCACGAACACAAUGGUACUAAUUUUGGCCACGAUCCGUGAAGUUUCAAGGGUCUUGGGUGCUUGUCCGUGCCAUUUCGAAGGAGAGAGAGUGAAACCGAAAGAGAGAUAAGAGAGAACACGGGAGAGUGAGAGAGAGAUAGGAUGUGUGGUCCAGAUUUUUGGGUCACCAAUCAAAACAACCAAUUUUCCUUACUUCCAAUUGGUUCCAAAAUAAUAGGAACUUAACACAUUGGUCCUCAACCACACAUAGUCCCACAAUGCCACAAACGCUCAAGGGCAUUUUAGUCUUUUCACAUCAACGAUAACAAAAUAAUGUACAUUUCCGGGACGGGUUGUGACAACUUGUGAGGUCCUUUUUCAUUUGAGCCGUUAGAUUAAUCUUAUGGUAGAUUAAUAUAUCAACUUUAAUAAUUUAUCUUAUGGUAGAUUAAUAUCAACAUCAAUAAUUCUUGUUACACCGAAACACAAUAAUUUGGGGAAGUAAUUAAAAAAAGAUUUGAUGAAAUUGGACGUGUAAAAUUAUUAGGUUUUCAUAUUUGGAUUUGAUGGGUUUAAAUAUUUGAUGGAGAUUGACAUGGCGUGAAACUUUCUUUUCUCUUCUUAAUUUUUUUUGUUUUACCAGUUUAUAUUUUGUUUCCGUAUAACAAAAAUUAUUUAAGUUGAUAGUUUAAUAUACCGUAAGAUUAAUUUGAAGCUUCAUAUAAAAAAGGAAUUUCAUAGAUCCUCAAAAUGAGGACCUUAUGAGAGCAACUAACAAGCCAGAUUAUAAACAAAAUAGACUUAAAAUAAAAUAAGCGUAUACGCAAGAUAAAUGGUUGGGGUAAAAAAAGGGCCACACAUGCUCGAUUCACAACUCAAAUCAUGAAUUAACAAAUCUAAUUAUAAAUUAGAUGAUAAUUGGAUCUCUACUACAGUUGUGACGAGAAGCGUUGUCCUUGCACGUGAGUUCGAACCCUGUUAAUUUUUUAAUUUAACAAAUCUAUCAUUUAAAAAAAAAAAAUUAUAAAUUAGAUUAGAGGGCUGCUAGUGACCAUACUGAUGAUGACUAUUAUUUUAUCAAAUACUGACUCACUCACUCACGCUAACCAAAUAUACAUAUAUUUAAUCUAUUAUUGUAAACUAAAUAUAAUAUAUAUAUAUAAACGUACAAAAAUUUCUGGUCAUAGAUCUUCGUAUUUUGCUAGACGAUAUAUGUAUAAGGUAUUCGAGUCUGUAUUAUCGAUGCCUCUCUUUCCCCAUAGCGCAGCGACUCAGUGAGGGAGGAGAGAGAAAGAGGAGAGAGAGACCUGUCAUUGUUCUUCUGAGGACGACUCGGUUGCCCAAUACUUUGGCGUCUCGUCUCGAACAGUUUUAAAGCACAGCGACACACAAUAUCGAAUACUACCACCACCGAUUCACUUCGACUUCUUCACCACCUCCUCCACCAAACCACCAGUUCUCUCUCUUCCACCUCCCUCAUAUACCCUUUAACUCUCUUGGGAUUCUCUCUCCACCUUUCUCUCUCUUCCCAAUACGGGCGCAGAUUGCCAUUGCUGCGAGCUUUUCAUUUCUGGGGUUGCUCCAAAUCGAUUUACCCCAAUUGGGUUUUUGUAUUUUCCGAUUUGAGCAUCUGGGUUAUCGUCGUCGUCGUCCCCCAUGGCUGCCUCCUCUGUUGCAUCUCCGCUCUGCACGUGGCUGGUGGCCGCUUGCAUGUCGGUCACGUGCGACAGGGACUGCUCUGCCAGGCCAUCUAUGCUCAGCUCCUCCCGGAGGCGGCCGAAAUGUGCCGGAAGAAGGAGGCUGCCGUCCAAAUGUAGUAGCUUUAGUGGCGAUUUCCAGAAGGGCCUGAUUUCUGCGUUCAGUGGAUCCAGCAUUCAGGGCCUCAUGAGCUCCUGCUUGGCUUUCGAGCCCUGCGAUGAGUACUACAGCUCAAAGGGUUUAUCUUCUUUGGGAUGCAAUGGGCUUUCAUCACUGUUUGGAUCCAAUCGAAGGCAGAGGCAAUUUAAUGGAGCCUCCUACUCUGGUAAUUGUGUUUUUAUGAUUGUUUUUGACAUGUUCAAAGUUAAAUUUAUUAAUCUUGUGAUUGCUUGUUUUAUCAGAACAUGCUGAUUGUGUUGUUGUUUUUACUUUUGAAAAAAAAAAGAAAAAAAAAAGAUUAUUUGGAAUCUGGGCAGCUAUCAAUGCAUGUAUUUUGUGUGCGUGUUUUUUGAGCUUUUUAGCCAAAAUGGUGGCAUAAACAUUGAAAAUCGAUAGUAGUCCCUGCGUUUUGUCCACCGUAAAUCAUUCUAGUCCUGUCAAUAUCCUCGUUAAGUUGUCAAACUCAGGACCACUUCUAUCGAUUUUCAUUGUCAAAGUGAGGUGAUAUGCUAAUCACAGAGACCAUGUUGGCUGAAAAACCUUUUUUCAAUUAUAUAUUCUGGAAUUUUACUUUAUUCUUGCUUUGCAGUAUGAUUUAUUUGAAGUGGGUUAUGUUGGUAUACCAAUUGUUGUUGGAAAGAGAGGAAAAAGUUUUCCAUGCUGUGCUGUCUUCUUUUCUAUUGGAAUUACAGUUGCCAAAAAAUAAACAGUGGUUUUAAUAGUAAAGUAUUCCAGUUGGACUCAUUGAUUCAGAGCAUCUCCGAUUCGCAACUGUUGAGUGAUUCAUGAUUAUACUACCCAGGAACUUUAAUUUACAAAGAAUACGUAAUAGAAUAUCUUGUUACUGAAGAAGUUUUAUGAAUUGGACCAGGAAAGAGAGGAAAGAUAUAUUAUUUACGUUGGUGUGAAUGUAUAUAGAAUGAUCGUCCGUUGCCUUAUAGAUCUUUGAGGACUCUAACUUAGGUUUUUGCAUCAAUAACAACAACAAAGCCUUUUCCCACUAAGUGGGGUCGGCUAUGAUUUUGUUCUGGAUUCAUUUUCAUAAGGAUUCGACGUGAUCAUGGAGUGCCGGCUGUCGACUACCUGACGCCCUCCCCCUCCUCCUUUUCCAUCAAUGUAUAAGUAAAAAUAUUCCUUGACAUGCAUGACAUCUUCGUUUGUUUUAAAUCAUUGUUAUUGGUGGAAAUAUAGGGGAAACCAUGGCUGUAGCUGUGCAACCUACUGAAGAAUUAACAAAACAGAAGAAACCUUUAACAAGACAGAGGCGAGUGGUUGUGACAGGAAUGAGUGUGGUGACCCCACUCGGUCAUGAUUCUGAUGUCUUCUACAAUAAUUUGCUUGAGGGAGUUAGUGGCAUUAGUGAGAUAGAAGCUUUUGAUUGUACCCAGUUUCCAACGGUGACUAAUUUACUAAACCUCCCUUCAAAUUGUUGUUUUCUCAGUACUAUGUUCUUACUUCUCUUUAUUUUCUUUAGAGGAUAGGUGGUGAGAUAAAGUCUUUCUCAACGGACGGAUGGGUAACACCAAAGUUUUCUAGAAGAAUGGAUAAGUUCAUGCUUUAUUUGCUUACUGCUGGAAAGAAAGCCUUGGCAGAUGCUGGAAUCACAGAAGAAGUCCUGGAAACAUUAGAUAAAGCAAAAUGUGGGGUUUUGAUUGGCUCAGCAAUGGGUGGCAUGAAGGUACCUCAGUGGUCUGUGCCUUAAUAUUAUGUACACUUUUUGCAGAACAUUGAAAAAUCUUUCUACUGGUUUGUCUUCAAUUUGAUGUUUUUAGCAAGCAUGGUUUAGAGUUUGUAAUGUUAUGUCACAUCUUCCAAAUGUCAUUUUCGAAGGAGAUGCACGAAAACUAGUUUUCUUUUAAUUUCAGAACUGGACUUGUGUAUGUUAUUUAUUUGUUUAUUUAAGACAGUGUAUCAGUAUCUCUCUCCUGUAGUAAAACAUCUUGUAAACACAAAAGAUUCUUUUCGCAAAAUUAAAUUCGAAGCCAGAUAGUCUAACAGUGACCUACAAAAUUUGACUCUGGAACAAGAUCUGAUGUAUUUUCAUCACUUCAGUCAUUUCUGACAAAAAGAUUCUUUUGUGUUUGAUAUUGAACAGGUCUUCAAUGAUGCAAUUGAAGCUUUACGGGUUUCCUAUAAGAAGAUGAACCCUUUCUGUGUACCCUUCGCAACUACAAAUAUGGGUUCUGCCAUGCUGGCAAUGGAUCUGGUGAGAUUACAAUAUAUACGCGUAUAUAUAUUAUCGAUGCAAUACUCUUACAAUUCGUGAUGGCUGCUGAGAUUUUAUACUUGUCCUUUUAACUGCAAUUUACUUUUUACUCUUGCAGGGCUGGAUGGGCCCAAACUAUUCAAUCUCUACUGCUUGUGCUACAAGCAACUUCUGUAUUUUGAAUUCAGCAAAUCAUAUCAUUAGAGGCGAAGCAGUAAGUAUCCUGCUAAUCAUAUUAGGUGGUAGAGUUUAGAUGCAAAAUAUUGUUCUACAACAUGAAGUAAUUUAGUGGUUGUUUAGAUGCAAAAUUGAAAAUAAUGAUAUCUGAUGAAUGAUCUUUAAGUAUUAUAUAAUAACUAAUUUACAAUUUUCUUUGAAAUCUUAUGCAGGACCUUAUGCUCUGUGGUGGUUCAGAUUCAGUGAUGAUACCUAUUGGUAUUGCUCCCAUUCCUUGCAUAUGUUAUUUCUGUCUUAUUUUUACUCUGAGUUGAACGUAAUUUUUAAUAAUCUUUUUUCGUAUGCUGUCACCGCAGGAUUGGGAGGCUUUGUGGCAUGCAGAGCACUGUCACAAAGAAACAAUGAUCCGACUAAAGCAUCACGCCCUUGGGAUAGUGUAAUGUGACCAAUAACUAUGCUAGAUUCAUUUAUUCUUUUAUUUCCACUGUGAUUGGUUAUAUGAUGAAACUUUUGUAAAUAUUCUUAAGAACAAGAAUGGUAAAAAUCACUGAAAGGCAUGUCAUAUAUUGGUUAUCACAAUGUAAAUUUGUGUUGGAAUCUAGUCAGCUUUAUUGAAAUGAUAUGUUGUAAUUUAUAACUAAACCUAGUCAUCUAUUGAGCUUGAGAUUUGAGUUUCUUUGUUUUAGAAACGUUUAACAAGUGCAAGGGUACUGCGUUGCGAAUGAAAAUGUUUGGAACUGCAAUCAUUGUUUCUUACUAGCAUAUAGACUUACAUAGUGGUGUUUUUAACGAAAUCUUGUUUUGGUUAUUGGACAGAAUCGUGAUGGCUUUGUUAUGGGGGAAGGAGCUGGCGUUUUGCUUCUAGAAGAGUUAGAACAUGCUAAGGUAUUUUCUAAAUCUAUGAUCUUGGCAAUGGCACUUGGGUUGUCUGUCUGGAUAUUCUUUUUCUCUUUCUGUGUAGGAUCACAUCGUCUGUAGGGUUGUAGGUGCAAAGUCUGUAGGGACAUUCUGUAUACUGUGUGGUUCCCUUGAGUUAAUCCAUAUCAUGCUUUCCGUUACUUUUUUUGUACUAUGUUGAGUGAUUAUUGUCAGCUGAGCUUACUGCUACCCCUAUAGUAGUCUCAUACACAUUUUCUAAUCAUUCAUUUCUAUCUUACCAUGCGAUAUGGUGUUUCUGUAUAAAUGCUUCUUUAGAAAGUUUAAUUCAUUGAUGUUUAUUUUCUUACAGAAAAGAGGUGCAACUAUUUAUGCAGAAUUCCUUGGUGGAAGCUUCACAUGUGAUGCUUACCACAUGACUGAGCCACACCCUGAUGGUAAUAUGCUUUAUCUUUGGAAAUAUCACUCCUACGUUUCUCUUGUUCUUUUUGUUGAGCUAUGGAAACAAGAAAGCUUUUGGCAACUUGUUUCUGUUGAUCUAUUAGAGGUUCAUUAUGGAAGAACAUUACGUGGAAAUAUUUGAAUGAAUAAUGUCGUUAUAGCAUUUUUUGUGUGAAUAAUUUUAUCCACCUUGCACUUUGUUUCAUCGAAUUACAUCAAAUGCUGGAAUUUGAAUUUUUUAUUAAUGUCCUUGGAAACAGGGGCCGGGGUUAUUCUCUGCAUAGAAAAGGCAUUAGAGCAGUCUGGGGUGUCUAGGGAAGAUGUUAAUUACAUUAAUGCACAUGCUACAUCCACACCAGCCGGAGAUCUCAAGGAGUAUAAUGCUCUCAUUCAUUGUUUUGGCCAGAACCCUGAGGUAACAACAAUACAUUACAUUCGUCGUCUGUUUUCUUAAUUCCUGUAGUUCCAUGUUCAAUGAGAUCAUUAUGUUUUACAGUUGAGAGUGAACUCUACAAAAUCCAUGAUUGGUCACCUACUAGGAGCAGCUGGUGCUGUAGAAGCUGUUGCAGCAGUGCAGGUAACUUGAUGUUUCAACUUGGAAAAACUGUACAAUUUUUAGACCUUAUAUUUAAAGACCAAAUACAAUUCUUCUUUGGUUUGAAGUGUAGUUCUUGACAUGUUAUCUUCUUUUUGGGUAGGCGAUACGAACUGGGUGGAUACAUCCAAAUAUCAAUCUGGAAAACCCAGAUGAGGGAGUGGUACGUUGUCUUCCGUUCCUUUAUAAUGUCCAAUGAAAGUAUAUUUGGAAUCCUCUAAUUCUGUCAGCACAUCAAUGCAGGAUACAAAACUACUAGUGGGUCCAAAGAAAGAGAGGCUGGACGUUAAGGUGGCAUUGUCUAACUCAUUUGGGUUCGGUGGCCACAACUCAUCGGUCUUGUUUGCCCCAUACCAGUAGAAACACAGAUCUAGUGUGCUACUCCAACCUUUGCUGCAAUCUUACACGGUAUGUUUGCACACUGCCACCUUUUUUUAGAACUUAGAAGGAUUGUAAUAUGUAAACAAAUCAAGCAAGGUGUCGGUAUUUCUUUUGAAAAAUAGUAGUCCGAAAAAUAAACCUGUAGUAUCGUGAUUAUUUGUCUGAGUUAACAUCUUUCAACUUGAAAUCAACCUAUGUAGAACAGUUACGAGCACUGUCACGUAUUUCUUCAACAAUGAAAUCAAUGAUAUCUUUCUUUCGUAUAUUUUGGUUGAAAAUUAAGCAGAGCCCGUUAUUUACAGAUGGGACUGAAUCGACAUUGAAGUACUUCAUCUUGUGUAUGGUCGGAUAGAUUGUGGCUAUGAAAACUGAACCGCUCGAGAAGAUUGUUGAGGUGGCCCCUAAGUAGGAAAUAUUAAGAGCUCACCCAACGGUUAACAAGAAAUACUUUUGCUUCUUAUUGUUAGAAACUUUCCCUUUCGAUAGCCACAGUAGCUUUUGAUACUUUUACGGCUGCUAGUCAUUGAACGGCCGCUACGGUAACGGUUGCCUUGUUUGAUUUUGGUGUUCUGUACAACUAGUUGGCUCAUCAGAUAAUUGUAAUGAAAUUUAGUUUGCAGUUGCAUGACUUUACGUUUUUCGAAUUCCGACCUACUUGUAUCUUGUUUCCAAAUUUUAUACUUGGAUUGGGACCCGUUCGAGCGUCUUUAUGAUGUCCAUAAACUUACUUAUGACGAAGCGAUAUUCUAUUCUAACCUACACGUUCCUUUCCUUGUUCGCCAUCGAUCGCUAUGUAUGUUCAUGUUAAUCGGCAAGCAGUAUCAACAUAUUCAAUAAAGUUUGUAAAAAAAAAGGUUCAAGAAAAGUGAUUGCAAAUAGUAAUCAAUAAAUCAAGAAAAGUAGCAUAUUUAUUGUGGAGAAAAACUAAAAUACAAAGACCCUUUGGUGUUUAUAUAUAUUUGUCUUGAAUGUGUUGAUCUAAGUUGAAGAGGUUCUUCACCUUGUUCUCUUCUUGCUGCCUCCUUUCUUCUGAACCCGCCCUUUAAACUUCGAGCCUUUAGCGGAGAGGAUGGCCGAGGCACUCUGCCCUUCGAGCUUCUUCGUCAUUUUCACCACACUCGAUAUUCCUUUUCUCGCGGCCGCCCUAUGCUCUGGUCUACGGCUCAUCAUUUUCCGAUCAAGUGGCCAAUAUGCAUAUGGUUCAAGCUUGUCCUUCCUCUUCAAAUCCCCACCAGCCUUCUUGCUGGCGUACUCUUUGCCGGUGGCAGCCCACCCGGAUUCUGAUGUCUUCCUGCGUUUUUGUGUUUUCUUUGAGUUUGCAGACAAGUGACUAUCCGCUUCGCUUCUUGCAUCAUAAUCAGGUUCGGAUGGCUUUUCCUUGUACGAUUCUGCUUCGUCGUGAAUUAUUAGGCGCCCAUCAGGGUCUAUCUCUGGCCCAUCAUCCGACUCCAUCUUUCGCUUUAAACUCUCAGAUGACCUGAGUGCAGACCUAGUUCUUUGCCGAUCAAGCAGAUCAAGUGGCUCAUCCUCUAGCUGAUCAAGCAACUUCUUAUUAUUUGUUCUUCUGUAAUACAAACAAUUGUGUUGGUUCAUUUCGGCCAAUCCAGGUUGUGUUGUUGAUCAUAUUAUUUUUUAACAUUCCUGGACAAUCAGAUAUGAUCCAACGAACACUUCUAGCUUACCAAGAUCAUGAAUAAUGCAAAGUGUAGCUAUCUAAACACGUAAACACUGCAACAUGAACAUCAACAACCACCUACCGUAAUGAAGAUGCUUUGGAUUUGAGCUGUGUGGACACCUUGCCACGUCUGCCCGACUCUGUUUUGGCAUCCAUAUAAUCUGCAUCGCUAUCCUCAUUUUCUUCAUCACCAAAAUCAGAAAAGAUUUUUGUAUGGUUCCACCUGCUUAGCCUGAAAAGAAGAUGGAAAAUAACAGAAUGUUAGAGAACAUGAAGAUUAAAAACUAUAUAUAUCUCAAAAAAUGAAAGUUCAAAAAUGAGAUGUAAAAGUUCCACCGGCACAUACGCACAUGUGUGAUGUGUAUUUACAAUAAGAAUACAUGUGCACCGUGUGAGUUGUGCUCGUGCAUGUAUUUAACUUUUAAAUUAUGAAAGAGUGAGACCUGGAUGUAGUUGCUUUGGACACUUGAGAUCUAGCUUCCUCAGAUUUAGAACCCAGCUUUCUCUCUUUUCGUUCCUUAAGCUGUGUUCACAAGAAAAGGGGAAGAUCAGAAACAAGUAGUGAGUACCCCUGGAAAAUUUUCAAUCUAGCACGAUGCCUCUCGACAAACCUUCCGUAUGUUCGUAAGUAGUUUCAUAUGCUCUUGAGGCAUCACAGCCUUAACAGCAUCAAGCCCACAUUUCUUGACGAGCAUUUCUAGAAGCAGCUUAACCUGAAGAAGAAGAAAAAUCGAGUUUGAAAAGCAAGUGAUGAGAAAUAUGGGGAAAUUCAUAAAACCAACUGAACUCAACCAUAUUGAGGAGGAAACAACCUUGGCUUUGAAGUGGCUUUUAGUAGCAUCUUGCCACUUGAGCAAGCCUUCCACCAUGCUUUUCAAGUGCAACUGCAACCCCUCAGCUUGUGAUUUGGCUACUAAUACUUUCAACAAACCCAAAUUAGCCUGCAAAAAGGAAAUAACAAAUAAGUCAACGAAUUAUCAAGCAGUUCACUUAAGUAACUGAAUAACUCCGAAAUGCUGAUCUAAAAGAGAGGGGAACAAACUUUGAUUAUUUCUUUGUUCUUUCUCUGAAGGAGGAGAAAUGUGGAUGGGAGCAAAUUGCUAGCACUUGAAACAAGGUCAGAAAAUUCAUAAGCCAACCGAGCUAAGCCCUUCAUUGCAGCACUGAUCAUAUGAGGAGUUUCACCAGCUAGCCCCCCAGCUACCUGUGACCAUAAGAUCAACCUUAGACAUGCUGCAAAUUUAUAUAAUUUCUGCUUUCCCACAGGACCAAUUAUUGCCAAAAGACUAACAGUAAAAACUGAGGCAGUCUGAAACAAUAUUCAGUACCAUGUUAAAAAAUUGCAGCAGGUUUUCUCUCUUCCCGCCAGUCUCCUCGUCUCCACAAGCAUGGCCAAUUUGGACAAGGAUGUCAUAAGCUCUAUUUCUUGUUUUCUUGUUAGCCUGCAUUGAGAAAGAAAACCAUUGGUAGCACUACAUAUAAAUGAACAAAUUCUGAAGCUGCAGAAUGCAAGAUCUUCUGGCUCUUUAAGCGCAAGAAUUAGAUUCUUUCAGGAAAUUAAAAACUACGCAAGAAACCAGAUUGCAGCUGCUAAACCACUUUACCUCUUUAAGUGCAAGAAUUAUUUCUGUCAGGAAAGAACUUAUGAUGUCAUGCUGCAUCUGCUCAGUGUCGCUCUACAAAAAGAUUCAAGUUCUUAGCAUGGAAUGGCAUACAUGUGAAUUUUUUUCCCUAAAUCAAACUUUGUUCCUGAGAAUCAAAUAAUGAAUGCUACACGUAGUAAUACGAUUUGGCAAAUCAAUAUGUUUAUGUAUACCUUUGAAAUAUGGACUACUAGGAGGUACAAGCAGUCAAGUCUGUGCCGUUUAGCUGAAAAAUGGCAUGAAGGAAGUACUUCAAUCAUAAUAUCUGACAAUUCCUUGCGCUUCAAUGAAAGAAACCAAUCACAGUCCUGACCAUACAUCCAGCAACAAGAUCCAUAAGUAAAAGAGAUGAGCAAAGGAAAAAAACCACCAUAACAUGGAUAGAAUGGCUCAGCAGCACAUAAUUCCAGAAAAUUAUAUGAGUGCCCUUGUAACCAUGUCUUCUUUAACUAAGACAUUAGCAGUGAAGCAAACGACUUUGAACCAGUAAACCAUGUUUCCAAAUAUUCCACUGACUGGUGAUAAUAAUUCAAGUACAGUGCAAAAGCAUUAAUAAAGAUAAUCCCUAACAUCCAAAUCAUACAAAUCCUUAACUUUUGCAUACCCUGAGAAUGAUUGAAAGAACUUUGUAUGCCUUCUUUUGUAUCAAUCCUUCAUUAUCCUGAAGUCAGGAAGCCCAUAGUUAGUAACUUAGGCAGUAUUUCCUUUUACCAAGCAUUUCUAGAUGCCCUUAAAAACAAAGUAAAUAACCAGAUGGAGGAGAAAGAUUUCCAAACCUGCAAUGCAGUCUUUAUUGCACUAAAUAAAACAUCAACCUCUUUAGCAUCCAAACCAGGUAAAAGUGAGACUGCCAAGUCAAAUAGUUGUGCCCUGCAGUUAAGAUGGAAGAGAAUUAAUGUCAGGUCAGACAUCCUGAGAGAGAGAAGUGAUAACUCUACUGUGAAAAUGAAGAACUAAACAUCAUAGACAAAAAAAAAAUAAAAAAUGAUGUACCGCAUGGUAUUAGAAUCUCUAGAGCUUUCUGCUUUCCUAGCCUCUUCAGUAACCUUCAAAAGCUUCACCAAUGUACUUCUAAAAUACCUUGAGACAACUUCUUUAUCUGAUAUUGAAGCAAACUCACCAAUUGUGGACUGUACAGGUGGAAACAUAAUUAUUCUCAUCUUCACAAAACACUAUUCAUGAAAAAGUAAUCAACGAAUUUCGCAUUGAAAGUACAAACAUGUAUCUAACCAAAAAUGUAUUCCUAAGUAGAAAAUUGAACCCAAUAUGAAAAUGUACAAGUUCAUUAGGGGAAGCAGAGGGGACAGAGGUGCAAAUGUAUCCAAAAGAUCAAGGGGAAGUCAAAAGAAAGAAAGAAAAAUAAGACUGAAAAGGGUGAUAUUGUAAAAAAGGGAUGCAGCUUAUAAAGUGAGCCAAUUCCAUUUUGUUCUUGUGCCUUUAUUGCUGAAUUAUGUUCUUUGAAUGUUCACUACGAUGUAUCUAACACAUUUAGGUAAAAAGUGCCUCUCUCUCUUACAAAAAAUGUGUCAUGGUUUUAACGAGGAUAGGCAUGGUUUGUAGGGAAACUGCAUUUGUUACACCAGUAGGAUAAGUGUACUGUACAAAAAUCAAUGCGGAUUUGACAUUCUUGUCAUGUAUUUUGCAGAACAAAUAAACAAAACACAUGUAACCUCAGUAUGCUUAAGUACCUGCAAACAGCCUGCAUCAUCUUUUGUGGUAUUCAAGAAAACACCUGAUAGAACAGGUAGUAACUUGCGUGCAGAUGACUUGAGUACGCUCAUGUUACCUUCUGUAACUUCAGGGGUAUAAUUGGCCAUAGCUCUAUGUCUGGCGCUACCUAAUUCACUAUCAGACAGAUCAUUCACUUCCACAAUUUUCUUAUUUUGUUGAACAAGAAUCUGCAAGCUCAAGCAUAUUAUCCCACGAAUCUCAGGUUCAUCCUGAAGGGCACUGCAUAAGGCUUGCUCUAGAUCCUUGAAACUUUCAGCAGUAUCAGAAGCAUAGUUGCAAAAGGAAGGUAACAGUGACCACAAAGCGUGUACAAGUGCAUCUGAACUCCUUGAUGAAACAAUACGUCCUUGUGACUCCAGCUGCAAAUUAUAGCACAUAACUAAAAAAUUCCAUCUGGAAUAAACAACUAGCAUUCCAUCAGUAUGAUUUGUUCAAUACCUUUUUAGAUUUCUCCUUUAUCAUUCCAACCAUACCCAAAAUUGACUCCGUAAAGAAGCUCAAACGUGCACCAAUUGUAUACUGCUUCAGUAUCGGAAAGAGCCAAACAUUCACCUGACUUAGGUCUUCAGCCUCCAAAUUAAGAGGUAGAAGACCUAAAAAUGUUUCAGGUCCCAUUGCAACAAGAGCCGAUCCAAAGCAUUCAUGCAACUAUAUAUUAAUAAAGUCCUUAUAUUAGUAAAUGUCACACUGAGUUAGAAAAAAUGAACUGAGUUUGACUUGCAACCUAAAAAACUUGUAAAUGAUGAUAGUGGACAUGGUAAAAUUAAUAUGUUAAACACUGAAUAAUAUAGAAAAGACCUGUUUCCUGAAAGGGAAAUCUUCAUCAGGUAACUUCUCCAUUUCCUCCAAGCUCUUCAUUGCACCCCUCAUGAAAUAAGAAGAGUAUACCCCUGCAUGAUAACAGCUGUUAUACCUCUGAUAUCAAAUGGAGAUAAUAAGUGCAUGGUAACAGAAAAAUAAAUCAGUUAAAAACAAGAGGAAACAGUCAGAUGCAUCAAAUUUUAAAAGUAAUACCAAGUUUAUCAAACAUUGCUGAGACAACUUGAAAUGCAAGGUCCCAGACACCUGCGUAGUGAUAACCAAGUAAGCUUUCAAUAGUAGCACACACUUUUUCAAUUAUAGUUGGCCCAGACUUCCUUGCAUCAUUUUUUGCAUUCAUUACAAUCUGGUCAACUCCCUGUUUGACCAAGCUUUCAUCAAUGCAAGCACGAAUGAGACCCUUAAAUGUGUCCGCUGCUGCAUGUAUAGCCUCUUCAUGCUCAGAUGCCAACACAUCUGCCAAAAUCAAAGAAACACAACGGAACUUUUUGAGUUCUGCUUUCUAGAAUGGAACAGAUAAAAAGAGACUUAGAAGAAGAUUUCUUUAACUAAUAAGAAGGUAAAAUGUACGCAACUAAAGUCAGUGGACGACAAAACACUACAUACCUUCGAGUGCAAUGAAAACGAGAGGGAGUUUAACUACACAUAUUUGCCUGUUAAGGGAAUAAACUUUCGCCAUUCCAGUACCAAGCAAGCGAGCUGUAAAUGUCAUGCCAUCCACAGAUGUCUCAUUCGUAGAGACAGAAAGAGCUAAUGAGCAUAAUAGAUCGAGCAAUACUUCAAGAGAAACAUCUGUCGAUGGAUUGAGACAAAGUAUAUUCAAACUGUCUGUUAUACGCUUUGUAACAAGUGGUUGGCGCAGUUCCAGAAGAGUUUUGUAGUACUUGAGGACAUCGGUUUUGUACUUGAUUGACAUAAGAAACAGACACUCUUUCAGAGCAUCCAAAACAUACAAGACCUCUUGGGCUCCCUUGGGUCCUUCACUCGCAUCUGCCUUUGACCCACCGGCAAGCAGAAGAAACCUUUCAAAUAAGUUAGUUAUCCCUUCACUUGCGGGGGCAAGGAGCGGUGUUCCUUGAAAACUUUGCAGCACAUCGCUAAGGCACAAAUGUGAUUGUCUUCUCACCUGUUUCCGAAUCCAAUUACAAUACAUUCCAGUACAUGGAACAGAAUCAAAAUCUGAAUCAAUUAUAUCAAUCGACAUUACCAAAAUAUGCAACAAUUGUACCAAAACGUCAUUUAAUAAACCUCAAAUUCAUCGAAUUUAUAUAGUAAAUGACCGAAGCAAUCUGAAUUCUAUCAUAAACAAUCAACAAUAACGAUAAGAACUCAAUGGCAAAUAAAAUGUGAGAAACUCACCUUCGGGCGAGAAUCCGUAACGAAACUCAAUAGGAAUCCAUACAAUUGAGAGACAUCAGACCAGUUGACGCGGCCUCUGACAAUGAGCAAAUGCGAUAUACAUUUCAAUCCCGAGAAGGCGGCACCCGCCGUCAACGACGGCGACCGAAGAACACGGACCAAGAGCUCCGAUAAGAACUCGCUCUUCUUCACGAGAAUCCCCACCGAUACUUUCUGAAAGACAAUGGAGAGAAUCGUGAGGAGGGCGUCGAUCACGUGACCGGGUGGGUCUGGCUGGGAGGCGAGGCCGUCGAGGGACGAGCACGUGAAGCCGAGGUAUGCGACGGGAGUCGAAGGGAGGUUCUUGUCUUUGAGCUCCUGGGCCAUGGCGCCGACGGCGGCACAGAGGUGGUGGUGGUCUUCGCGCGUGGAGCUGCUGAAGCGCGUGAAGAUUGAGGCGCAGAUGUCGUCAUCGUCGCUUAGAGGGAGGGAGUGGACGUCGUCCACUUCGAUGCCUUCCAUGUUUGGGCUGGAGUUUUGGGGAGUUGCAGAAAAACCCUAGCUUCGAUGGUUCUUCUGUUUUUUUGCCCACCUCUCAGUACCGGCUAGGGUUUUAGGGAGACAGUUGAGGGCGAAGAAGGUGACCGUUAAGUUGCGGAUUCACGGGUCGAGGUUUUAGUUAAGCCUUUGGGAACCGGGUGGCCCAGUUGUGGCGGGUUCGGAUGGGUCACUGAGUUCGUAAGCGCGCGACCGACACUCGUUACAUCUUUGGACUCAACGGGCCCGUCACCAAAAGAUGAUUUAUAUUCCUUCUGGGCCGGUUCGGAAGUAUUGACCCGAAUUUAACUCUAUAGUAUUCUCCCCAAUUUUAUAGUCAAGGACUCAAGCGAGGAGAGAAGAGGUUACAAUUAUUUAUCGUCACGUGGAGAGAAAGAUAGAAAAAUGAUGACAAUAAUACUGAUACAUGAAGGUAAUGCUUCUAAAAUUUAGUUGGUAAAAUUAGGAUAGUGCUAUCCACAAACUCCCUUUUAUUUCUCACACACAUUUGUUAAUUUUUAUUCAUUGAUCUUUUUCAAUUCGUUCAAUUCAACGGUCGAAAAUUGAUAUGUGUGUGAAAAGUAAAAAUGUGUGGAUAGCGUGAAAUUAUUUAUGAAUUAUGACCCCCCGCACAAUUUUCACAAUUUUUGGACAUACGGUGUUGAGGAAUGAGGGUGGUUGAUUGAUGGAACAAAACAUAGUUUUAGGUAAAUGGAGGUAAAAUGUGGGGUAUUUACGGGGUUCACAAGACAAACUCUCUAAUAAGUUGAUAUUUUUCGUACGGGUUGUCUUAUGCAACAAGUCUCUAACAUGUUGUCACAUGGGACAGUCACACAAAUUUUCGUGAAUCAUAGGAUACUCUAAUCACGAUCAUAAAAACAGUCAUACAAAUUUUCGUGGAUCAUAGGAUUUUCUAAUCACGAUCAUAAAAAAUAUCUUAUCCAUCAGAGCAAUCUACUGUUUAUCGCAAAUAAUUAUUUCAAAAUAAAGUAAGAUCUUGAUAAGUAAAAUAUCCAGAACUUUUAGAGUAAUUCAAACCCAGACAACAAUAUUAUAAACUGAUUAUAUAUAUAUAUAUAUAUAUAUAUAUAUAUAUAUAUAUAUAUGUGUGUGUAGCAUCAUUACUAUACUCGUUAAUAUCAUACGUACAACUUGAAGUAAAACAGUACGAUACCAAUUGCGGCAUGGACUGACACUGAUACCCAUAAUGACAGAAUUACAGCCGUCCAUCAUCAGAUCAUCAUCAAGGUCCAGAUCUGGGCCAUCUGCUGCUCUUGUCGAGGCGAUUGAUCAGGUACAGCGCGUUGCUCGUAACCCUAGCCGAAUUCGUAAUCUUCCGCUUCACAUCCACGGCCUUGGCCUUCACAUUCGCCUCCUGAAUCCCAUCGAGACACGUCUCGUCAUCCGUGAGGGCGGCGCUCAGCCACGUCUGGGCAUUGCUCAUCUGGAAUCGAAACGUCUCCUUCCGGAGGUGGUGCAGCUCGGCGAGCGUCUCGCUCAGCUCGUCCACCGACGUCGACAUCAGGUCCACGCAGUCGCCGAUCGCCGAGAGCUGCAGCUUCGUCCCCUUGAAGGAGGCGGAGAGCUGGGCGAGGAAGCCGGAGACGCGGAGUGAGCGGGCGAGGCUAACGUUCACAGCGGCCUGGGCGAGGUCGCGGGGGGUCUUGGCGGGGCCGGCGUAGUUGGAUAGAGUGCGGAGGCAGAUUUUGGGGUAAGUGGCGUGGCGACAUGAUGAACGGACGAUAUUUGAUGCUGGGUGGUGUUUCCCUGCGGCGGAGGCGGAGUACAGCGAGCAGAAGAGGAGGACGAGGAGAGGGAGAAGAGAGAGUAGGAAACGCAUCGAGGAGGUGAGUAGAGUGAAGAUUGAAGAGUGUGGAAUUAAUCU